CAGAGAAUAGUUUAAAUAAAAUUUUAAUUUUGGAGAUUAAAGAUAAAAUACAAAAUUUUUUCUCUGA
This 67-nucleotide transfer RNA is filed under the name Proagoderus schwaneri. Its description in RNAcentral is "tRNA-Pro". Lineage: Eukaryota; Metazoa; Arthropoda; Insecta; Coleoptera; Scarabaeidae. The record is from RNAcentral.